CAACGAUCGGACGACAGUGGCAGUUACUGUACAUUGGGAGAGAGAGAUUUUUCUUCUGUGCUGUAGCCCCCAAGUAAACUGCCCAUGUUUCUGUAAAUAAUUUCUCAACCACGCUCCUGAAUGGACAGCUGAGGACCACCAGAUGCCUGGGGAGCAUCUCUUAGAAAACUAAGACUUGGAAGGACAAACCAGAAAGCAAGGCAGGAAGUUGAGUGGCUUUGUUUUGCUGUGUGCUCUGGCCGUAAUGUGCCACUCCAGACCCCGAGCAAUGAGAAGAAUGAUGCAUGAACUGACGCCUCCAAAGCUCUGAGCCCAAAUAAACCUUCUCUGCCAAUAAGCUGAGUCUGGAGGCUUGCUAACACGAUGGAAGGCUGACUGAUGACAUGUUUGUCUACUGGGAGGAAGGCACAGAAAAGGACUCCCUGGGGCCAGAGCCAUCCUAGCAUCAAAUAUUGCUGAGAAACCUAGAGAUGCUUGAAGCCCACAGCAGAUCUCCCAGAAAGGUGAGAUCUUUGCUGGAACCCAUAGAUGGGGCAUGAAGUCAGUGUUCAAAUGAUGACCUUUGGCCUUGAGAGGAGCCAUAAAAGUCGCCACUGGCAAGAUGUUAAAAGAAGUCUGUUGCAUACAUUCUUAUUUAGCACCAGAGAUAUUGGAGGGCCUGGGGUAUCACAGACUUCCCAUCAACACAUGAAGCCUUGGCAUACUGAUUUACACUAUGGUCACUGGGUUCACAUUAUACAAGGCACCAAACCCCUCAGAUCUGCACCAGCUGAUCACAGGUACUCAAGGCCACCAAGCAUGUGAAAAACUGGGAAAUCUUUAUAUCCUAUUUGCCUGUUGUAAGUUCUGGGGACAGGAUAACCAUAGACCAACUCAUGGAGCACCUAAGGCUAUGUCUCCGUGAUGAAGCUUUGUCACCAGCCCCUCACAGAAAUCAUCCCAAUAAUUCCAACCACCAAGAUUGUGGAAGCCAUGGGCACCGUGAGCUACAAAGUCCAAGAAAUCGUGGAACCUGUAGGAAAGAGAAAGCCUAAUGAAGUCUCAGCAGCAUGCACUCUACUGAAAUACUGAUUAAGCCAUGGGCACGUUUUCAUCAAACAGGAAAGUUUGUGAAGUGUCAUUCAAACAUGGGCCCUGCAGGUCCUCUCCCCUCCUCUUCCCUCUUAAUUUCAUCUCAUCUCGGAAGAGCCAACUGCAAGAGGUGGAUGAAAAAGGAAGGGGCAAGGGCUGCUCGAGGUCUAGCUUACCUGACCUAUUAUGCCGCUGUCCUUCUAAUCCAGCCUCACAAGAUAUUGCUGUGGAUGCCAGUAGCAUCCGCAGUGCUAUGGAGAUCAGUAUUGACUUGAGAUUCAGUGAAACAUCGCCUGAUGAUAUAGCCUCCAUGGAGCCUCCCCAGGAUGGGAAAACCAAAGAUGAGAAUGACAGGGCCAGGUCCCCUGAGGAACCAUCACUGGGUCCUAUCAUCAGCAACCACCAGCCUCAGUUGCACCCACAGCCUCCAGCACCACUAGACGAAGGGAUGAAAGGAGGAGAGGAGGCACACUGUUCACUUGCUUCAUACUCCAUGUUGUUGCCCUCCCUAUCUUGCAUUUCCCAGGAGUAGAAACAACCCCAGGUCUGUGGUCAUCAAACCACAGGGCUGGGGUCAGCCUGGUAUGGACUGACAGCUACAGGAAGGAGCCAAGCCAGAACUCCAGGAGACUGUAUGCUCAAAUGCCUGUUGCCAGACAGACUCCCCUGGGAAUCAGGGCACAAGCUCCUCCACCCCUCCCCUAGCUGCCGGGUCUGAGCUAACAGCUCCUGCCUCCUUUAGUACACUGGGUCUCCAAUACUGUUGUCCGGAGAAGGACAUGGUCCACAUGGCUUCCACCUUAUGAAGCUACAUUCCUCCAGUAUAGAUGGGAUGGAACACCCACAGUGAAAGAACUGAGUGCCCCACUGGACUCAAGGACCUUCAUCAGCUUGAUCCCUCAUCCUCACCAACAUUAUCACUAACUGCUGCAGAAACUAUUUUCCAUCCUCUAAGCACCAAAGGUGUUGGUUUCCCAUCCCAGGAUUCCAGAAACUGGUAGAAGUUUUCCUAUCCCGCUGAGAGAUUUCUUGACCGUCAUUUUGACUAGGCUUUUGAGUUUUUUUCUGUGACACCUAGGCAGGGUAAGAAGAUAUUCAGACCUGGGACCCAGCAUUGCUUCCACAAGCCUGGCAGCUGUGAGACUACUUUGUGCCCAGUGUCUCUGGGAUCAGGCUUAAAAGGAAAGCUUGAUCCCUACGUAGCUGCUGACGUCAGCCAUUGAUGCUGCAAAGAUCCCUGCUGGGUGAGGUGUUGGGUGGGGUGUCUGGAGUGUUCUCCUGGGCACCUUCCAGGUAGGAAUCGGCUACCAGAGUCAGCAGGGGAGUUAAUCUGUGGGCAUCACGCCACUGAACAUCAUGUUAAUUCUGCCGUGUGUCUGCUUCUGGUAGAAGAUGUUUCUGAAGCCUCAUCCUGUCUUAACAUCUGCCCAAGUGAAGAGAAGGGGGGAUCAGGUGGCUGAUCUCAUCCUCCCCACAGCAGAGGGAAAGAUGUCACUGGAUUUCUUUUCUGAGGAACCUGCGAUGACUGAGAAACUGCUAAGGUGUGGCUAGGUGUGAUCUGUUAGGCUAGGCAGCAGGUCUCCUGAUCACGGUGGAACACUGGGUCACAUUGAGAGUGGCCAAAUCAUCUUCUCACUAGCACGGCCUGGAGGCCAUGCUAUCACCUGCCAGCCACUGCAUGGCAUCACGCUCUAGGACCUGACCACCAUGUGAUUCCCAUAUGGCCCCACAUGGGACACGUGGCCAGUGACACUGAGCAUCUUGCUUGUGGGGUCAGAGCAGGUUUUGGGUGUGUGGGUGUUCACUGGGGCAGACCUUUGCUGCUUCUUUGGAUUAAUGAAGCCAGGGCAGGGAAGCGGGGUGGGUUCUGUGGCCCUCUUAGGAAUGAGUGAGGGGAAUGCGGGUCCUGGAUGGGAGAGAGGGUUAUUCUUUGGGCUUUACGGACGUGCUCUCCAGGGGGCUGGCAUGCUUUGUUAUGUCAUGACCAUGGACAUGCUUCCCUGUAGUCAAGGAACAUCAGGAACCAUUUACUGCAAAAGAACAUAGAAUUUGAGUUCAUGUCCCUCUGGCCUCCUUACUUGGUCUGCACACUCCGCCCACCCAUUCUUACAGGACAUUGGCAUGUCAUUGAAAACUGUUAUUUCAAUGGCCGCUGUUACCCUUUGUGCUGGUCCUGUGGGAAGGGUCCCUUGUUCAGUGGGUGGCACCCAGCCCAUGGCCACAAGCCUCAGGAUGGAUGGAGCCUUCUUUAGGUCUGGGCCAAAUGCAGUUCUCAAGUGUGAAGACAGUCAGCUGAUUCCCUGAAUUCUUUCUCUCUUUCUCUGCAAGGAUCGCCCUUCCUUGUUGCAGAGGACAGAGGUGUCCAGGCAGCCUUAAACUUUCUGCCCAUUCUCCAGACAGACUUUUGGCUUGCUACCUGAGAGCAGAGAAUUAGCUUCUCCAGACAACCUCGAAAGGGUUUGAGAAUGUGUCCUCUGCAGAGCCCCGCAAAGUCAAUGAAUAACUGUGCCUGCCCUCUGGACAGAUCACCCGGGGAAGGGCGGUGUCUCCCUCCCUCCUGUCCCAGGACACUGCUAAUGGGAAUAUGAGGAACUUGAGAACAUCCAUAUGGACAAUCUCUCGUUGGCCUUCUCAGGACUUGGUCUGCCCUGAAGGAGCCACAGCUCAGUCAGGCUGCAUUUGAGAUCACAAGUUUUAACAAAACACAGAGCACAGUAGCUGAUGCAUGCUAUUGGUGACUACCCGGAUGGUUUGGAAGACACUGUAAACGAACUCCAAGGGCUCUCAUGUCCAUGAGUGCCAAGACAAAUCAGGCAGAUGGUGGUACACAAAGAGAUGGAAAGAUUGAAUAAUUGCAGCAGGGGUAGUGACACAGUUCGGAAACCUCGUUUUGUGAGGACUGCUGUUACCCUUUGUUCUCAUCCCCCAAGAAGAGGGCCUGGCGUCAGGGAUGGUGCUCAGCUCGCAGCUCACAACGGAACCCCCAUCUCCAGGGAAUGGUCAACUGCCCUGCAUGAGUGGGACAGUGCAUGGCUGUUUCCAUGUACUGCUUCGCUUUUCUCUGCAGGGGUCUGUCUCCCCACUCGCAGAGCACAGAGGUGUCCAGGUGGUACUAACUGCCCCCACACAUUCCCCAGGCUCCUUUCUGCUGCUACAGGACACCCUCCGUUGGGGUACAUUCCGUCAGGUCUCAAGUUUCUUCCCGCCCUGGAAUGCCUGCAAACCAAACGGGAAACAGUAGUAUCAUUAGACAUGCCAAACUCUGAGCUCCUCUCAUUGUGAGGUUUAUCCUCUUUGCAUUUUUUUUUUAGUUAGAUCCCAUUUGCUUAGUAAAACUUUCCCAGAAAAAACAAACAAACAAAAAACAAAAAACCAACCACCCUUUGUCCUAAGGAAUGAAGACAAUGAAGUAGAAACAUGGAACAAACUGUCUAGGUCUUGUGUGGGUCUCCUCCAGGAAUCCUGUGAGUCACAGGGUUCCCCUCUCUAUACUGCUGCUGCGUGCACACAGUUCGGAGUCGUCUAUCCCACAGUGUCCUCCGAUGUAGUCAGGCCAUAAUCUAGGGAGUGGCUGUAGCUUGGGCCACAGCACAUCAACCUUUCUUGUACCUUUGGAAGUGCAAAUGAGAGGUGCCAGUUCAUUAGACCCAUGCUGCUAGGUAUGGUGUGCAGGGUGCUGUGGAGUCCUAGACAGGCUGGAGACUGGACCACGGACAGAAACCUCAGAAACCGGGGCCCAAAUCACUCUUCCAUGGUUGUAAGUUGAAUACCUCAGGAUUUGUACAUUGAAGGAAGGCUGACUAGCAUACUUGUCUCCUUGGAGGAAGAAGGCAUUGUAUGGAAUUUCCCUCCAAAUAGCUUAAAGAAGAGACUCUGAGUGGUGCAAAUGCAGAGAAGAAGGGGUUUGGACUGUGCAGGGAGCCCCAGGUCUGCAGCCUCUGUGGACUGUCACCCAAGUUUGGGUGGGCUUUCCGGUGAUAGAAAUUGCUAGAGUCAUUGCUGUACCUUGUGCAGAACCUCUCAUCAAUAUUCCCGGUCGUAACCCCAAUAAAACCUCAUUGUCUCACCAACUAGAA
This is a long non-coding RNA of Peromyscus leucopus (white-footed mouse), 5147 nucleotides long. RefSeq lists it as uncharacterized. The record is from RefSeq and is a predicted model, not a curated record. The transcript is spliced from 7 exons. NCBI's taxonomy places the organism in Eukaryota, Metazoa, Chordata, Mammalia, Rodentia, Cricetidae.